RNAcentral lists this ribosomal RNA (469 nucleotides) under uncultured bacterium. RNAcentral describes it as "bacterial SSU rRNA". It matches the Rfam family "Bacterial small subunit ribosomal RNA", at positions 29 to 507 of the family's 1533-position model. The record is from RNAcentral.
AGUGAACGCUGGCGGCGUGCUUAACACAUGCAAGUCGAACGAGAACGGAUUAUAGCUUGCUAUAAUUGUCAGCUAAGUGGCGCACGGGUGAGUAAUGUAUAGAUAACCUGCCCUCUAGAAAGGAAUAACAGUUGGAAACGACUGCUAAUGCCCUAUAUGCCUUUAAUACAUAAGUAUGCAAGGGAAACGCUUUAGUGCUAGAGGAUGGGUCUGUAUGGUAUCAGUUAGUUGGUGAGGUAAUGGCUCACCAAGACUAUGACGCCUAACUGGUUUGAGAGGAUGAUCAGUCACACUGGAACUGAGACACGGUCCAGACUCCUACGGGAGGCAGCAGUGGGGAAUAUUGCACAAUGGACGAAAGUCUGAUGCAGCAACGCCGCGUGGAGGAUGACACAUUUCGGUGCGUAAACUCCUUUUAUAUAGGAAGAUAAUGACGGUACUAUAUGAAUAAGCACCGGCUAACUCCGUG